UUCCUCCCAAGGUGGAGAACCUUGCAUUUUUCAGUGUUAAACAUCAGGUUCUCAUCCGCCCAUUUGCUGAGCCUGUCCAGGUCAGCCUGGAUCAUCUGCCUGUCUUCUGGUGUGGAUGCUUUGCCCCAAAGUUUGGUGUCAUCAGCGAACUUGGCCAGUCUGCUUUUGACUCGAGUGUCCACAUCAUUAACGAAGAUGUUGAACAAUAUGGGUCCAAGGACAGAGCCUUGGGGGCCCCCAAGGGUGACAGGGCACCAUGAUGAUUGACUUCCAUCAAUUACUACCCUCUGGGUCCAACCACGGAGCCAGUUCUCCAGCCAGCGGAUCAUGGUGGACCAAGGCCACAAUCAGCCAGUUUCGCCAAGAGGUGAUCAUGGGAUACCAGAUUGAAAGCUUUUUUGAAGUCAAGAUAUAUGACAUCAAUCUCUUCUCCCUUGUCUAGGUGAUCGGUUACCUGGUCAUAAAAGGAAAUGAGGUUGAUCAAGCAAGACCUACCUGCAACAAACCCAUGCUGGCUAUCCCUCAGGAUGUUGGCGUCGGCCACUCCAUUAAGGAUGGCCCCUUUAAUAAACUUUUCUAAGAUCUUCCCCAGGAUAGAAGUCAGGCUGAUGGGCCUGUAGUUUGCUGGAUCUACUUUCCUCCCUUUCUUGAAGAUAGGCACCACAUUGGCCUUCUUCCAGUCUUCGGGAACUUCACCAGAGUGCCAGGAGUUUUCAAAGAUCCGUGCUAGAGGCUGGGCUAUGAUGCUUGCCAGCUCCUUGAGUACCCUGGGGUGUAGAUUGUCAGGCUGACUUGAAGGUAUCCAGCCUCUCAAGGUGUUCCUUCUUGAGGUCAGUAUUGAUGGAGAGCAGGGGAUCUCCCUCACCUGGACCUCCCUGUCCUGUAGUGGGCAUGGGUGUCCCAUGGGACUGAUGAAAGACUGAUGCAAAGUACCCAUUUAAUAGGUUGGCUUUUUCCUGGACGUCAGUUGUCAGUUGCCCCAUCUGGUUCACAGAAGCAGCUGAGAGUAACCUGGAACUCUUCAAUUGUGUUGUGUGCCCACUCAAUUGUCAGCGUACUGAAGAUCAAGAAUGGAGGUGUUGGUUAUCUUGGAUUUGGAACGUAACUGGUUGAAGUUAAAGAGAUUCCCAUCCAUGUGAUGCUGGAUGCCGAUCAGAUGAAAGCCUAUCAGCAAUGAGAGAUGCUGUGUGGUUGUGUUGCCUGGAACGCACAGCCUCACUAAAGCAGCACGAUUACCCUGACUAGGAGGCAGAGUUGUAUAUGAGGUUCAUGUGUUUGGGUUGGGAAUGAUUCUUUGCUGGGGAAAGUUCAGUCAUUUUUAAGGAGGCUCAUGGUAACUCCUUAUUGACGGAAACAUCUUUGUGGCUAUGUGGUUUUUGGCUCGUCUUGCCUUUUUAUGGAGUAUGAGCUCUUGGGAUAAAGAUUGAUUUCUCUAUCUGGAAAAUGCCUGCGCACACUGGGUGUUCCUGCAGUCUAGCAAGUGAUGAUGUGCAAAAUGGAGGACCCUUCUGGCAGCUGUAUAAUCCAGCUGUUCAUUGGGCAGACUUACCCCACAGCAGUAUGGUAGAGUGGGCCCAACCCUGUACACAUGCAAAGAAGUCACUGCAUUUGCAACAUCUGGAUGUCUCCUUCAGAGAUUCUGCUAGUUUCCCCAGGGGUGGAAGGGAAUGAUGGCCACAGAGCAACUUUGCAGCUGUCUUCGUAAGGCUAGGGAUAUUUCCCCCCACUUCCCAGUCAGUCAGCCUUCUGUUGUCAAGAGGUUUGGGCAGAUCAUUAGCUGGUUGGGCUGCUUAGAAAAGAGAGAGCUGUCUACCCUAAGGACUGGCCAUAACUACACAUUUCUUUUCCUCAGGCAGUUAGGAACACUACAGACAUAUAUGUUUAAGAACAGAUAUCAUUUCUUUUUCUUAGCAAAGUGUGUGCCUCCCAGUCGGAUGGCACAGAGACCAAAUGUGAAGGUUUAUGACAAAGAGCUUUUUUUGCACAAGUAAUUUUUUGAGGGGAAAAUUUUAAUGCAAGCAAAAAUUUAGUUUUCUUCUUGCAUCACACAACUCAAAAAUGGUCAGGUUGAACCUGAGCAGAUUUUCCCCUCACAUUCAACCGGCCCUUUUGGAUGAAAUUGUUGUGCCUUUGAGAUCAAAGUAAUGGCUUUGGAAAUUGGACAGGCGUUCCUUUGCCAGCAAUGUUGCUGCUGUAACGCAAAUCAUUAGAGAAAUUAAGGGCUGGAAGGGACCUCGAAAGAUCAUCGAGUCCAGCCCCCCGGCUCUGGCUGUCUGUGGAACUGGAUGGCCUUCCUUUUUGGGUCAGUGCUGUACUUGGGAGAUCAGGGCCAUGGGUCAGGAGUUCUGGAUUACAAGUUGCAUUGUCAUUUCAGCACCUAUGGGAAGCUUUCUGCUAUAAGCAACAUGCCUUUUUAUUCACCCUGAUUGCCCAUUUUGGUCUGUCCUCUUAAAGCAGUUAGCCUUUUUGUUCAUCGUCUCUUAAUUAGGUUCAUAUCUAGCUAGGUUGUGUGUUUUGAUUUUUAGGGAAUAAAUUCCUAAAAUCUCUCCCCCAAAAUUGCAUCAGCAGACUGUCUUUUUCUGAAGUAAGGGCUCUUCCCAGAGCUCUCCACCACCCUUUCCUAUGGGGGGAAAAGUUUUUGUGAAUUACUUUUUUGAGGACAGAUUCAAAUACCAGGACUCAGGAAACAAGCCCUGGGGCAUCAAACAUAUUUGAAUGAAGAGAGAAUUUUGUAGGGAAUAGGAAGUUAUUUAGGGUCAAAAGAAAGUUAGCUGAGAAUGUAUAAUAUGGAGUCUAUUGUGAAACUGCUUAUCACAUUAAUUCUCUUUUUUGGAAAUUUAUAUUAGGGGAUUGGAGAGCUGGAAAGUAGCAAGCAGAUGCUGAGCCCUGGUAUGUGAAGUACACUCGGGUACAAGAGGACUUGAAGGCCAACAGGCAGCUCUUAGGCAUUGCAUUUCAUGAAAGACAGUAUUGGCUUUUUAUUCCUUCCAGUGUGAAGGCUGUAGAGUAGAUGAAGAUUACAAUUCUGUAGUAGUUGUAAUUUUAUCAGCUGAUGGAUCUGGAGCAAACUGGACUCAAAGGAUGCAUCCCCACAAGUGGGAACAUGAAUUUCCCCAGGGCAGAGGAAAAUUAAGAUUCGCUGGGGUCCUGGUCCUGCCCUGCCCCAUCCAUGGGCUACAUCCCCAGCCGGUGCAGCAGGAGCAAUAGCCGGAGUGGGACACACUGUCCCCCCGGCCUGGAGCAGAAGACACGGCCGCCCCUGCCCACAGGUCCAUGCCAGAGCCUGGGGUUGGUUGUGCAAGAUCCCGCACAACAUUGUCCUGCAGCCACGCAGCACUAGGGGUGCGGAGCUGCUGCAUGCUGCAUGUGUGUGACACAGACUGAGCUCUGGGGGCCGCCCCUCACCCCACCAUGACUCAAUCCAGCUGUAGCAGUGCCAGGCCAAUGCGCUGGAUCAUGGCCAGGCCAGGACCUGGCUGCACAGGGGCUGCCCCACAGCUAGCAGGCCCAGCCACACACCACUACUAGCUCCAUUCCCUGCCACCAGUGGCUCCAGCCGCUCCCAGGGCUCCAGCACAUUCAUGCCCUGCCCAGUACCUGGCAGCCACAGCCCACCGCAUCUCACAUACCCAGCCCAGCUGCCAGUUAUGUCUGUGCUGAGCUGCUCCCCCUUCUCCCCUGUGCCCACCCUCCAGGCAUCUGGGGGCCCCUGUUUGGUGUGUUAAUCCACCUUGUCCCUGGGGAAUGCCUGUUGCACGCACUCUCGGGUGCGCAGCAUGUUACCCCGGGUAAGGUAGGGGAGGCUGGGGCCAGCAACUGUGCUGGCCCCAGCAGCCUUAGAUAAGGUCCUGGGGGCCUCUGGGAGCUGCAGCCAUGGCACUCCUGCAGCUGGGAGCCUGGCCAUCAGUUAGAAUAUGGCUUCAGCCGGCCAGGCUCUGGUUUUGGGCGGCGUGUGCUCCUGCCACAUGUGCCACCUCGCUUUUUUUAGGUGUGGGAUUUUUUGACCCCAGGAUCUCCCAGGUUCAAACGCACCCUCCCCCUGCACUGCAAAUGAGUAGUGCAGGAAACACCUGCAUGUGCAGCAUGUGUGGUGUGAGGCGCUGCAGACGGGUGUGCGGUGUUGCAUCCUGCACAUCCAUGUUUGUCUGGACGCACCCAAGGUUUCCAGUAGGUAGGAACCAUUUCAACUCCCAGCCACUGAAUAUUGGAAAGGAAAUCUGAAACAAAGCCCUCUGCUCAAUAUGUGAAUAUGCAUGUUUAGUGAAUUUAAAAAAAAAAUCUUUUGCUUUGUUUUCAUAGGGGUUUUUAAUAUUACUUAGCUGCUAUGUCACUGUAAAUAGGCUAAUUAGUUUUGCAUAAACUACCAUAUUUUCUUGCAUACCUCAGGCUCCAGAAUAAAAUAAACACCUUUUUUGAAAGGUAGACUGAGGGGGAAAAAAUGUUUUCUUGUAGCAAGGAACUGAGUUGCAGCAGCUCGGGAGUGGAGGCUGCUCAUUCAUUGUUCUGCUCCCUGUUAGAUUGUACUUUCACUUCUGCCUGGUAACCAGCAGAGCCUGCUCUUACUGUAUUUCUCACAUAUAAUGUGCACUGAAAUCUUUAGCAACUUGUUUUGGAGAUAAAGCAUGUGUUGUAUGCCAAAAAAAACCUACAGUAUGCAACCCUGUGACAUAUUUCCUGGCAGGUGUCUAUAGAGGCCCUGAUUUGGGGAAGCAAGUAAGUACAUACUGUCCUCAGCUGAGGCCAUAAACUCCGUUUUUCCAGAUAAUAGGGGAUUAUGUUUGUUUGUGAUAUCUAUCCACCAGUUCCUUUUUUCCGUCCCAGAGAACUGGGAAUGGAUUCUGUUUUUGUUGUCAUUCUUAUUUCUGGGCACUGGAGGCCACUGUAAUCCAAUUAUUAAUAACUUAUUCUGCACUACUUGUUAGGAUGGCAUGGCACUUUUUUCCAAACAGGUGAAGGAACAGUAGCCUCAGGCUACUUUCACUGAGAACAAAAAACAGGCAAAGAAUUUCUGCUACGAGGGCCUGAUCUCAUAACACGCCUGCCUGGCCCUGACAAUAGUCUAUCGCCUUUGUGUUAACUACCAUGCUGUUGUAAAAUGGCAGCGCUGGACUGAACUUGGUGGAAUCGUGCUGAUGUGUGCUAGGUGAGAAUCGGGCUGUGUUGCCUUUAUUAGUUGGAGCAAUAAGUCAUACACUGUUUCAGUGCCUUGAAAAAGUAUUAAUAUGACUUCAUAACACUGAGGCCCCACUUUUAUUUUUUACCCAUCCACAGGACUAAAUGAGAAAGGAGCAUAAUAUCUAUAUGCUCCAAUUCCUUCUGCAGUUUAGCAGCUUGUGGGGUUUGGGGUUUGUUUGUUUUUUUAAGGUCUCUUUCCAAGUAUUGGUUCAGCCUAACUGAGACUGAGACCCAAGAUCAUGUAGUCACGUGGUAAGAAACAGUUUAUAUUACCAGCAUGCCUUGCUUCCUACAUGUGGGGCUUUUCCCCUCUCCUUGCUGGUCCAGGUUCCCUUUUUAUUUAAUGCUUCAGUGAUGUCAGAAGCAAGUUUUUACCCUGUGUAGUAUCACAAAAAUGUUUGCUGUUCCAGCACGAGUAAAGACAACCCAGGUACUGAUCUGCAAAGUAUCAGCCUGCUUUGCCUUUGACUGGUGCCAAAGUAGAUGCCUUGCAGAUGACUUUCUCAUCUGCAAGGCAUCUACUGACUCAGGGCUGUCCAACUUCUGAGUGUCUGGGGGCCAUAUGGGCCAUGGGCUGCAGGCCCCCCUCUGCUGCAAGGGCUGUGUGGCCUCCCUGGGCCGUGUGCUGUACAGGGUCUUCUGGCACAUGGGCUAUGUAGACUACCCUGGCUCUGGAGGCUGCCCCACCCCAGGGUUGAGAGCAGGAAGGAAGCUGGAAGAGGAAGGGGUACCAUCCCCUGGGCCAGAUUCAUGAAGUUUAUACCAGUGUGAAAGGCUUUGUUUAAAAGCAAAAUCAGAGUCAAUGUUUCCAAGUGAACGUUUCCAAAAGUAAAGGACAUGUUCAAAGAGUGCAGAGAUGCUGGUAUGUGGUUACAACAGGGAUUGCAUGAAAGCGUCAGUGGGGUGUUAACAUAUUACUGCCCCGCAGCUCUCGACUUAGUGUUUGAAACUACUACUGUGCUGACUCCUGAUUUAUUUUGUGCAGGUGAUGUGCCCUAGCAUUACCUGAGUGUGGAUUGCUACUAUAUGGACAUCAAGAGCACUAGUCAAGAAAACUCUGAGACACAAAUUUUAGAAAUGGCACGCACAAUGUGGUGGGAGGGAGGCUGUCAACCUGAAGGCUAAUUUUUAGGAUGUCCUCAUGAUGGAAAUGUCUUGUGAAAAUCAAAAAGACUAAUCUUUACAGCAGCUGCUGACCACCAAAGAGAGAGCGAGUCAACCGCCAAAGUAUUGUCUUCAGAUGUGUCUAUCCUGAUGUAACCUGAGAUGAUAGUAACAUAACUUUUUAUGAGAAAGCAUUAAUGGUGCAACCCAAGAAAUGACCAUUGUUUGGAGAAGAGAGAGAUUAGCAUAAGAAUUGCAAAAGGAGUAAGGAAAUGGCUAAAAAAGAAACAAGAUUCAUGUAAAGAGAGAUUGCCAGACUGGCAAAAAGGUAAGGAGCUCCUCAAAAUUGGUGUUGAUCCUGGCCUUAAUGAAAAUGGUAUAUACCGUAUUUACUUGCAUACAACACACAACUGUUUCCCCAAAAUUCAGCUUCUGUAAAUUGUGGUGUGCAUUGUAAGCAAGGAAAUAUAGUAACCGCAGUUUCUACCUCUGUGGAAUGAGGAAAGAGAAAUGAACAGUAUAGAACUGAAGGUGUGGACUCCUUAGCUGUUGGCUAUGGAAACUUUCUGUCUUCUCCCCAGCAGAGGCUUCUGCUGCAUAAGCAAGGAAAAAUCUUUUCUUUUUUUCAUCCUACCUUUCAAAUGCAAGCUAUAUAUCUGAUCCAGGAACAUGUAUAUGAGAAAAUAUGGUAGCAACAUUGGCACAAGAAAUGUGUGCUGAUGGGCAGGGUGGAAAAAUGAUGAAGAAACAGACAAUUAACGUGUUUGAAACUGGUGGUGUAGACUCAAGUUAUUUGUCUUUAUCUUUGCUUGCUUUCCUCUCCUUUCUUCAAAAAUGGUAAUUGCUCCUCUUUUAAACUGUUGUAUACAGGGGACAGCUUAGUACUUGAUGCCAGGACAGGAAAAUGGAUUAAAACAUUGGCAGCAUAUCGAUAUCGAUCAUAAAUCUUGCAUGGCAUACUUGCUCUACUGUACUAAAAUGCAUUUGUUUUUAA
Long non-coding RNA from Alligator mississippiensis (American alligator), 7273 nucleotides. RefSeq lists it as uncharacterized. NCBI's taxonomy places the organism in Eukaryota, Metazoa, Chordata, Crocodylia, Alligatoridae. The record is from RefSeq and is a predicted model, not a curated record. The transcript is spliced from 2 exons.